This 447-nucleotide ribosomal RNA is filed under the name uncultured bacterium. Its description in RNAcentral is "bacterial SSU rRNA". It matches the Rfam family "Bacterial small subunit ribosomal RNA", at positions 328 to 792 of the family's 1533-position model. The record is from RNAcentral.
GUCCCAGACUCCUACGGGAGGCAGCAGUGGGGAAUAUUGCACAAUGGGGGAAACCCUGAUGCAGCGACGCCGCGUGAGUGAAGAAGUAAUUCGUUAUGUAAAGCUCUAUCAGCAGGGAAGAAAAUGACGGUACCUGAGUAAGAAGCCCCGGCUAACUACGUGCCAGCAGCCGCGGUAAUACGUAGGGGGCAAGCGUUAUCCGGAUUUACUGGGUGUAAAGGGAGCGUAGACGGCGAUGCAAGCCAGAUGUGAAAGCCCGGGGCUCAACCCCGGGACUGCAUUUGGAACUGUAUAGCUGGAGUGUCGGAGAGGCAGGCGGAAUUCCUAGUGUAGCGGUGAAAUGCGUAGAUAUUAGGAGGAACACCAGUGGCGAAGGCGGCCUGCUGGACGAUGACUGACGUUGAGGCUCGAAAGCGUGGGGAGCAAACAGGAUUAGAUACCCUAGUA